UACGUAGGGUCCAAGCGUUAUCCGGAAUCACUGGGCGUAAAGCGUGCGUAGGUGGAUGUUUAAGUGUGAUGUUAAAUCGUGUGGCUCAACCCUAUCGAUGCAUCGCAUACUGGACGUCUAGAGGACAGCAGAGGCAAGUGGAAUUUGUAGUGUAGCAGUGAAAUGCGUAGAUAUUACAAGGAACACCAAUGGCGAAGGCAGCUUGCUGGGCUACUCCUGACACUGAGGUACGAAAGCGUGGGGAGCGAACAGG
This 253-nucleotide ribosomal RNA is filed under the name uncultured bacterium. RNAcentral describes it as "partial 16S ribosomal RNA". It matches the Rfam family "Bacterial small subunit ribosomal RNA", at positions 524 to 776 of the family's 1533-position model. The record is from RNAcentral.